Oncorhynchus tshawytscha (Chinook salmon) is the source of this 276-nucleotide long non-coding RNA. The record is from Ensembl. Lineage: Eukaryota; Metazoa; Chordata; Actinopteri; Salmoniformes; Salmonidae.
ACGGUACAGAGUCAAUGUGGAGGCUAUAUACAGGGGGUACUUGUACAGAGUCAAUGUGGAGGCUAUAUACAGGGGGCACCGGUACAGAGUCAAUGUGGAGGAUAUAUACAGAGGGGUACCGGUACAGAGUCAAUAUGGAGGCUAUAUACAGGGGGUACCGGUACAGAGUCAAUGUGGAGGCUAUAUACAGGGGGUACCAGAGUCAAUGUGGAGACUAUAUACAGGGGUACCAGUACAGAGUCAAUGUGGAGGCUAUAUACAGGGGGUACCAGUACA